UCAGGACGAACGCUGGCGGCGUGCCUAACACAUGCAAGUCGAACGGGGAUUUGUUUCGGCAGAAUCCUAGUGGCGAACGGGUGAGUAACGCGUAGGCAACCUGCCCUCCGGCCGGGGACAACACUCCGAAAGGGGUGCUAAUACCGGAUACGAAGUCUGUGCCGCAUGGUACGGAUUUGAAAGAUGGCCUCUAUUUAUAAGCUAUCGCCGGGGGAUGGGCCUGCGUCCGAUUAGCUGGUUGGUGGGGUAACGGCCUACCAAGGCGACGAUCGGUAGCCGGUCUGAGAGGAUGAACGGCCACAUUGGGACUGAGACACGGCCCAGACUCCUACGGGAGGCAGCAGUGGGGAAUCUUCCGCAAUGGGCGCAAGCCUGACGGAGCAACGCCGCCGUGAGUGAGGAAGUUCUUCGGAACGUAAAGCUCUGUUGUUCCUGACGAACCUCCCCUCUAUCAACAACGGAGGGGACUGACGGUAGGGAACGAGGAAGCCACGGCUAACUACGUGCCAGCCGCCGC
This 517-nucleotide ribosomal RNA is filed under the name uncultured bacterium. RNAcentral describes it as "bacterial SSU rRNA". It matches the Rfam family "Bacterial small subunit ribosomal RNA", at positions 24 to 518 of the family's 1533-position model. The record is from RNAcentral.